ACGGGUGAGUAAUGCCUAGGAAUCUGCCUGGUAGUGGGGGAUAACGUUCGGAAACGGACGCUAAUACCGCAUACGUCCUACGGGAGAAAGCAGGGGACCUUCGGGCCUUGCGCUAUCAGAUGAGCCUAGGUCGGAUUAGCUAGUUGGUGAGGUAAUGGCUCACCAAGGCGACGAUCCGUAACUGGUCUGAGAGGAUGAUCAGUCACACUGGAACUGAGACACGGUCCAGACUCCUACGGGAGGCAGCAGUGGGGAAUAUUGGACAAUGGGCGAAAGCCUGAUCCAGCCAUGCCGCGUGUGUGAAGAAGGUCUUCGGAUUGUAAAGCACUUUAAGUUGGGAGGAAGGGCAUUAACCUAAUACGUUAGUGUUUUGACGUUACCGACAGAAUAAGCACCGGCUAACUCUGUGCCAGCAGCCGCGGUAAUACAGAGGGUGCAAGCGUUGAUCGGAAUUACUGGGCGUAAAGCGCGCGUAGGUGGUUUGUUAAGUUGGAUGUGAAAUCCCCGGGCUCAACCUGGGAACUGCAUUCAAAACUGACUGACUAGAGUAUGGUAGAGGGUGGUGGAAUUUCCUGUGUAGCGG
This 583-nucleotide ribosomal RNA is filed under the name uncultured Pseudomonas sp. RNAcentral describes it as "bacterial SSU rRNA". It matches the Rfam family "Bacterial small subunit ribosomal RNA", at positions 102 to 681 of the family's 1533-position model. The record is from RNAcentral. Lineage: Bacteria; Pseudomonadati; Pseudomonadota; Gammaproteobacteria; Pseudomonadales; Pseudomonadaceae.